This is a long non-coding RNA of Nycticebus coucang (slow loris), 931 nucleotides long. RefSeq lists it as uncharacterized. The transcript is spliced from 3 exons. The record is from RefSeq and is a predicted model, not a curated record. NCBI's taxonomy places the organism in Eukaryota, Metazoa, Chordata, Mammalia, Primates, Lorisidae.
UAUUCAGGGGCUCUGGGUAAAAUAAUAGGACUUGCAUCUUUGUUGUUAAAUGAAAUAUAUAACUUUUAUUACUCCUCUUGGGAAACUUCCAAGUUAGGUACAGAGAAGCUUUCAUCCUCUUGCAGCCUACCUGGGCACUGCCUGGAACCCUAAUCCUGCAUUCAACUGGGGGUCUACUCAUCCCUGAGUGACCCCCAGUGGAGUGAAAGGAGAGUCGUGGGACAUCAACAGUGGGAUAUCAACAGUGGUUGAUGUUUUUGGAAGAAAAUGAAUGGCCCUCCUGAAUGUGAAGGAAAAACUCAUUUUCAGACAUCAGAAGAUUACCUGUUGGAAUAAAGAACUUACCAGAUUUGGGCUUCCUCAUUUGUAAAUACAGAUGCAAGAAUGUUGUGAAGAUCACAUGAGAUAAAUUAUGCUACCUGCCUGGUAUAUAGCAAGCCAUCAAUGAAUUUCUUACUACAAAUUUCUGUAUCCUUUUUUCUUAGUGUUUUAAAAUAGGAGCAUUGUUGAUUUUGCUUUACAUUUGAAAAGAGCACUUUGAAUCUCAGAAGAUAAUCACUUACAAUCAAAACAUAUUUUUCUUCUGACUUUUUUUAUUAUAUAAGGGGAGAAUUGUGGAUAAAAUCUUAAUCCUAAAAUCAACAUUGGUAAUGUUAAAGCAGGAGCAAAACUUUGCUUCAAAAAUCAAAAUAAAUUUAUCAUUUUACAACAACAAAAAGAGUUAAUGUCUGAUAUAAAUCCAAAUGAAAAGAACACGUGUUUCUUCAGCAAGGAGAUAUAACAAUUCUAAAUAUAUAUACACCCAAUAUUGGAGCAUCCAGAUAUACACAGCAAAUAUUAUCAGAGCCAAAGAGAGAGAUAUACCCCAAUGCAAUAAUGACCGGAGACCUCUACAUUCCAUAUUUAGCUUUGGAAAGAUCAUCCAGACAGA